RNAcentral lists this ribosomal RNA (253 nucleotides) under uncultured bacterium. RNAcentral describes it as "partial 16S ribosomal RNA". It matches the Rfam family "Bacterial small subunit ribosomal RNA", at positions 524 to 776 of the family's 1533-position model. The record is from RNAcentral.
UACGAAGGGGGCUAGCGUUGUUCGGAAUUACUGGGCGUAAAGCGCACGUAGGCGGAUUGUUAAGUCAGGGGUGAAAUCCUGGAGCUCAACUCCAGAACUGCCUUUGAUACUGAGGAUCUUGAGUUCGGGAGAGGUGAGUGGAACUGCGAGUGUAGAGGUGAAAUUCGUAGAUAUUCGCAAGAACACCAGUGGCGAAGGCGGCUCACUGGCCCGAUACUGACGCUGAGGCACGAAAGCGUGGGGAGCAAACAGG